This 324-nucleotide RNase P RNA is filed under the name Actinomycetota bacterium. RNAcentral describes it as "Actinobacteria bacterium partial RNase P RNA component class A". It matches the Rfam family "Bacterial RNase P class A", at positions 1 to 326 of the family's 367-position model. From Rfam's summary of the family: Ribonuclease P (RNase P) is a ubiquitous endoribonuclease, found in archaea, bacteria and eukarya as well as chloroplasts and mitochondria. Lineage: Bacteria; Bacillati; Actinomycetota. The record is from RNAcentral.
GGAGUGGGCCGGGUGGCCGCGGCCGGUUCGCCGGUCGAGGAAAGUCCGGACUCCACAGGGCAGGACGCUGGGGAAAAUCCCAGGCGGGGUGACCCGUGGCCAGCGCAACAGAAAGCACACCGCCGAUGGGUGGUUCGCCACCACAGGUAAGGGUGAAACGGUGAGGUAAGAGCUCACCAGCGUCCCCGGUGACGGGGGCGGCUAUGCAAGCCCCGUUCGGAGCAAGACCAAGCAGGGGAGAUGGGUGGCCCGCCCGUUCGAUCCCCGGGUAGGUCGCACGAGGCGAACGGCAACGUUCGUCCCAGAUGGAUGGUCACCACCUCC